Molecule: ribosomal RNA, 663 nt
Filed under: uncultured Acidobacteriota bacterium
Lineage: Bacteria; Pseudomonadati; Acidobacteriota
Description: bacterial SSU rRNA
Rfam family: Bacterial small subunit ribosomal RNA
Source: RNAcentral
UGAACGCUGGCGGCGUGCUUAACACAUGCAAGUCGUGCGCGAAGGUGGCUUCGGCCACCGGAGAGCGGCGAACGGGUGAGUAACACGUGGGUGAUCUGCCUGUGAGCGGGGGAUAACCUGGGGAAACUCGGGCUAAUACCGCAUACGUUGAUAGGGUUGCGGCCUUGUCAAGAAAGCUGGCCUCUAUUUAUAAGCUAGCGCUCGCAGAGGGGCCCGCGGCUGAUUAGCUAGUUGGUAGGGUAAUGGCCUACCAAGGCGACGAUCAGUAGCCGGCCUGAGAGGGUGAUCGGCCACACUGGGACUGAGACACGGCCCAGACUCCUACGGGAGGCAGCAGUGGGGAAUAUUGGACAAUGGGCGCAAGCCUGAUCCAGCAACGCCGCGUGGAGGACGAAGGUCUUCGGAUCGUAAACUCCUGUCAGGCGGGACGAAGGAUGCGGGGCAAAUAGUCCUGCAUCUUGACGGUACUGCCAGAGGAAGCCCCGGCUAACUCCGUGCCAGCAGCCGCGGUAAUACGGAGGGGGCGAGCGUUAUUCGGAAUUAUUGGGCGUAAAGGGCGCGUAGGCGGCCCGGUAAGUCAAAGGUGAAAUCCCUCGGCUCAACUGAGGAACUGCCUUUGAAACUGUCGGGCUUGAGGCCGGGAGGGGGUAGCGGAAUUCCCAG